CCCCAGACUCCUACGGGAGGCAGCAGUGGGGAAUAUUGCACAAUGGGGGAAACCCUGAUGCAGCGACGCCGCGUGAGUGAAGAAGUAUUUCGGUAUGUAAAGCUCUAUCAGCAGGGAAGAAAAUGACGGUACCUGACUAAGAAGCCCCGGCUAACUACGUGCCAGCAGCCGCGGUAAUACGUAGGGGGCAAGCGUUAUCCGGAUUUACUGGGUGUAAAGGGAGCGUAGACGGCAUGGCAAGUCAGAUGUGAAAGCCCGGGGCUCAACCCCGGGACUGCAUUUGAAACUGUCAGGCUGGAGUGCAGGAGAGGUAAGUGGAAUUCCUAGUGUAGCGGUGAAAUGCGUAGAUAUUAGGAGGAACACCAGUGGCGAAGGCGGCUUACUGGACUGUAGCUGACGUCGAGGCUCGAAAGCGUGGGGAGCAAACAGGAUUAGAUACCCUCGUAAG
RNAcentral lists this ribosomal RNA (448 nucleotides) under uncultured bacterium. RNAcentral describes it as "bacterial SSU rRNA". It matches the Rfam family "Bacterial small subunit ribosomal RNA", at positions 329 to 793 of the family's 1533-position model. The record is from RNAcentral.